Molecule: long non-coding RNA, 3738 nt
Organism: Cloeon dipterum
Lineage: Eukaryota; Metazoa; Arthropoda; Insecta; Ephemeroptera; Baetidae
Exons: 3
Source: RefSeq, a predicted model, not a curated record
CUAUUCGCGCCAGGUCCUGGUGCGAACUGCCCUCCCAGGUAACUAUUCGCACCAGGUGGUAGGGGUGCAUUUGAAGCACGUGUUGGCGCACCUGGUGCGAAUAAUUUUGCACAGGUAUCUGUUCGCGCCAUAUUUGAGAGGGGAACUAGAUACGAUGACGUCAUAACAUUAUUCGUGAAAUGAGGAACGUUCAGCUUCCUUUUGGCGGUGAAUUUUUACAAAAUGGCGGACAAACGCAAACGGCGUAGUUACGCUCCUCGCUUUCCCAGGUCAAAAUCAGCCUUUUCAGGGUGGCAAUCGCGCCUAAAGCGACCUGAAUAAGUGUCAUCGCAUAAGAGUCGGAUAGGGUGUACACGAGAAAGAUUCCUGAGAGCUGAACGACGCCAAGGUCAAUGGGCAGGCGCCGCUAUGAAAAUUUUUGCGGAGCAGAGAUACGCAGUGGCUGAUGGGCAGGCGCCGCUAUGAAAAUUUUCCGGAGCAGAGCUACGCAAUGACUGAUGGGCAGGCGCUGCUAUGUAAAUUCUCCGGAGCAGAGAUACGCAGUGGCUGAUGGGCAGGCGUUCCCAUGGAGUCACCUGAGAGGUGUUGCACCCUGGCUGCGAGUGCUGGCGCCGCCGUGGGUGAUGGGCAGGCGCCGCUAUGAAAAUUUUCCGGAGCAGAGGUACGCAAUGACUGAUGGGCAGGCGCUGCUAUGUAAAUUCUCCGGAGCAGAGAUACGCAGUGGCUGAUGGGCAGGCGUUCCCAUUGAGUCUUCUGAGAGGUGUUGUACCCUGGCCGCGAGUGCUGGCGCCGCCGUGGGUGAUGGGCAGGCGCCGCUAUGAAAAAUUUCCGGAGCAGAGCUACGCAGUGACUGAUGGGCAGGCGCCGCCAUGGAGUCACCUGAGAGGAGGCCGACGCUUUUCCCAUCCGCAGGCGCUGCCAUCCAGAUGGCUUGAGUGAAAGCGACCCUGGCUCAAGUGGCAAUCACCUUGCCACCAUUGAGUCUUCUGAGAGGUGUUGUACCCUGGCCGCGAGUGCUGGCGCCGCCGUGGGUGAUGGGCAGGCGCCGCUAUGAAAAAUUUCCGGAGCAGAGCUACGCAGUGACUGAUGGGCAGGCGCCGCCAUGGAGUCACCUGAGAGGAGGCCGACGCUUUUCCCAUCCGCAGGCGCUGCCAUCCAGAUGGCUUGAGUGAAAGCGACCCUGGCUCAAGUGGCAAUCACCGUAAUGCAGUUGAAUUAUAUUUUUCUUCCAUUCAUUCGUGAAUUAAAUCUUUGAAACCAUUUAUAAUAAUUUAUUUGUCAGUGCAGUUGCCACCAUUGAGUCUUCUGAGAGGUGUUGUACCCUGGCUGCGAGUGCUGGCGCCGCCGUGGGUGAUGGGCAGGCGCCGCUAUGAAAAUUUUCCGGAGCAGAGCUACGCAGUGACUAAUGGGCAGGCGCCGUUGUGCUGAUCAUCCUAGUUGAUAGACACUUUGAGUGAUAGCCUGGCGCCUCAAUGCAGAGCGACGCCGUGCUUGUUCACCUGGCAUCGCAAAACGCAGUGGAAAUAGACGCACCAUCAAAGUCAUCCAAGUAUUGUGCUAUUUUUAAAUUUCCUAUCACCGAAUUAAAAUUGUAAAUAGGAUAUAAUUUUUUAGUUAGCUGUGAUUGAGUUAUUUGUCAGGUUAGCUUCUGUUUUUACGGAUAUAUUUUUAGUUAUGAGGAGUUUGAAUGCUGUUCAAAUGCUGCUUUAGAUCGAAUAGUAUUACUUUAACUAAGUUUUGUUUUCAUUUUAGGUACCUCUUAUUUACACCAUAAUAAAAUUCUUGGGUUUAAAUGCAAACACUUUUGUUUAAUGAACUUCUCCAUACCUUAGUAAAAUUCAAAUCAGUUUGAAUUCCGUGUUGUCUCCACAUUGUAAUAUCAUCAAAAUAGUUUGGAAAAAUCAUUUAAUUUAGUUUAUUGAACAGAUUAGUAGCAGUCAAGCUGACAUCAGUAAUUCAAGUUAAGGCAGAGUUCAAUGGUCACAAUUCAUGCAAUGCCAAUCUUCCAUGUCUCUGAAAGUCAUGUUCAGGCUGUCAUCGUUUGCCUUGGGAUGACCGAUGCAAUCUGCAUGGUACCAAGUGGCACAGUUUUCACACUCAAGCAUUUUUAGUUUGAAAUUGGCUGGCAUUUUGCAAACGCAAUAGAGUGGUUCAUGAACAACAGCUUUGACAAAGUCUGAAACAUUUGGACCCUUCUUCGGUCUCGAGGGGAAAUCGAUAGGCUCGUUUUUUUGUAACAUUUUUACCAAGUUUUGUUUCAUCCCUUCAGUGAUGUAUGCUUUGUUGGGGUCAACAAACCCCUUAGUCAAUAAUUGGACCAGGUUUGCAAGAGCGUAGAGUCCGCUCAAUGUGAUGCUUGAGUUGGUGUCACACUUCAUAACAGUAAUAUUCAAUUCUUUCAAGGACUGCUCACAGCAAAUCUCCGCUAGUUGGAAUAGAAAUUCAUCCUCAAUUCUUUUUGGAUUUGCUACAGGUACUGAAUUGAACAACUCAAAAGUUGUCCCAUUAUAUCUGCAUAACAUCCAAUGUUCUUUGCAUCUUAAGAGCUGUAAGUACAUCUUGCCUGAUGAUGGGUGUUCAAUGUAUGGGAGCUUCUUGUCAUCUUUCUCGUCAAACUCGAAUUUAUGCAGUCCCUGGAUUUGGCUGUAUUUUGUUUUCAGCAUUUCCAGCGACGAGUUGAUCAAUUGGAUCGGAAGUCGUCCUUCUGGCUCCGAAAAUUCGUAAAUUUCUCGUUGUUGAAGAUUGUACUUUGGCUUCGCUAGUUCUUUGUUCAUAUGCUCUAGAAAAUAUUGAUAACAAAAUAGUCAAAACGUCUGCCCUUUUAUAAAUAAAGGUUAUAUACCUUUGCGCUGUAGUUCACUUGAAAGUUGCUCAAGAGGUUGAGAUUUUACUUUUUGAUUUUUUGGCCUUCCUCUUACUUUUGGUUUGGAGAUUCCAGUUGUCGAUGGUUGGCUCAAUGUUUGUAGGUAUGAACCUGCUGCAACAAAACAUUUAGAAAUAAUUUGGUAUUGGGAGAUUUUUAGUAUUUUUGUUUUUCGACUUACCUUCGACAACUUCGAUUUCUGUACCUCUUUGCAUGCCAGCUGUCAAAUCCAAUAUGUUUGUAGUUGUGGCCUUAUCUGAUUCAAAAUUAAUUGAAAAAUAAUUAUAUGCUGCAGAUAAUUUCCACUGUUAUUUUUUUAUAUACCUUGAGGUUCAGCAGCUGCUCUCGGAAAACGCUGAAUCAGCUGUUGGCCAUAAGUUUGCUCCAAUAUGUCAUCAAAUUCUUUGGCUGCGUUUUAAAUUAUUAAAAAGCCAACAGUUUUGAAUAUUUAAUAUUACCUGCUUGAUGUUGGUUCUCCUCCGAUUCCAAAUCAUGACCAGGUGUUUUCUCGGUUUUCUCUGUGUAUUUGAUAGGCGUACUUGUUGUUGGCAUAUCGGGACUCACUGCAAAUAACGCAAUAAAUAGUAUUUGAUUCAUUUACCACCAAAAGUUUUUGUCAAACUUGUAGAAAGGUUAAAUAAAUAAAAAUACCUUCAAAAAUAUCAGAAAGGGUCUCAUCGUGCACGAUGUUAGUCACCUGUUGGUUUGCAUCUCCUAAAAAUUCAUGAAAGCAUUUUAAUGGACCAGCUAAAAUUGUAUAGUCAAAUAUAAACAGUUUAAGAGUAUCAAAGAUGGACAAUAUUUUUUGUGUAAAAAUAUUUUAAGUCUUCUAAAAUUGAGAAUUAUGGAUUGUGUGGCUUAAGUAAUAUUUUAUA